Molecule: long non-coding RNA, 560 nt
Organism: Lingula anatina
Lineage: Eukaryota; Metazoa; Brachiopoda; Lingulata; Lingulida; Lingulidae
Source: RefSeq, a predicted model, not a curated record
CGGCGUUUCGAUAUUUGAUCGUCUCACAAACAAGUAAUCGCCAUGAUGUUGAAAGCUGUCUGUCUCCUGGCUAUUUUGGCCGUGGCGUGUGCCGUCCCUGGAACAUACUUCUACCCAGGACCAGAUGGACGCAUCACAUACUACCCCAAGGGUUUUCAGCUCGACCGUGCAGCCCAGGUUCGUGGCGCAGCCAACUACGCCUCUAUUGCUGCCUCUGGUUUGAGCAGAUAUUUCAGGCGCGGUUCCUAUCGAAAACGCUACUACCAUUAGGCUUGCUGCGGCGCCAGGACGUCUUACUGGUAAAUACCGGCCAACACAAUUUUGGGCAGCACAAAUAUCCGAAGAGCAAAAGAACCUCAGUGAAUUACCAUAAAGCAGUAUGCAACAUUCAGAAUCCGGGUUUUGGUACACGCACAUCUCAAACGAUGGACAUGACAUAAUUGCGCCGCCUGGCUUUGUUAUAACGACUUCACCUAUACAACCUUGUAUUUUACCUAGUCAAAUCUUGUGAGAUGUUCCUAUCAAUUGUUUAACAAUAAAACAAUUUGAUUGCCAAACCA